AUCUGCUCCUGUACCACGGUUGACCACGUGUAACCAAAACCACAGGAAGCACAACCGUGGAUAAGAGGGGACAACUGUACGUGAAAUAGAAAAGACUCAGGGCAUAAAGACCCUGCAUAUCAUAGGAAAGACCUGUUUGGAGAUUUGCUGGAGGUGACCAGUUGGAGGAGAAUACCGAAGAAGGCGAUGUGUCAAGGUCACGCAGCUUGAAGGUUUGGCAGAUUCCAGAGGCUGACCACAUCAUGCCUGUGCUGUGGAAUCACUGGCUCUGGGGAAGACAGCUGUUGUGUUGUGUUGUGGAGACACCAAAGAAGCCCCACAGAAAGGACCACGUAGCAAGGAACCAAGGCCACCUGCCAGUCGCCAGUGAGGAACUAAGUCCUCGUGCCAUGGCAGAAAUCGAUGCUGUGGAGGAAAAGAGAAAGUGUCAAUGCCGUGGGCUCCCAGCUCCUGUGUCCACAGCACUUGGGGGACAAGCUGGAAGCACGAAGAAGGAGUCAGACUCAUCUUGGAUACCUAGCCCCCACAGCGCCUGGGGAGAAC
Long non-coding RNA from Prionailurus viverrinus (fishing cat), 543 nucleotides. RefSeq lists it as uncharacterized. Lineage: Eukaryota; Metazoa; Chordata; Mammalia; Carnivora; Felidae. The transcript is spliced from 4 exons. The record is from RefSeq and is a predicted model, not a curated record.